AAAAAAAAAAAAAAAAAAAAAAAGUUACAUAUACAUAUUAAAUACGUUGCAUGUGUACAACCCUAAUACGUAACUAAUGCACCAUUUUUAUUUCUAAUUCAGAUAUUAUGUAGGUCUACUAACAGCACUAGCACUUUUCCAUUGUUUAGUGUUUGUUUUCUGUCUUGUUUUUUUCAUUUUAUUUUUGAAAAAUGAUAGCACAAAGAAUCAAUGGAAAUCUUUCUACAACACAUCAAGCGAUGUCCCUUUUUACGUUUUAGUGAGUGCACUCACUGUGUUGAACGGAGUUUUUUUUUGUUUUAGUUGUACAACUUCUAGGAUUGCACAUUUUUCUGAUUUUAAAAAAAAUGACCACAUAUGAGUAUAUCGUUAACAGAUCGAACUCUAAGGAUAAAGAAAAUAAAAACACAAGGACGUGUUUAGAAUGGAUAGUCAUAGAUAAAAAGUGCGUACAUUUAUUGAAUGAAAAAUAUUUGAGCAUUUUCAUAUAAAACAUAUGCAUACAUUCAUUUAAUAUUAUUCCAAAUUUUGUCUAUAUACGUAUAUACCUAUAUAUGUAUGUGUAUAUGUUUUUAUCUAUUUAGUAAUAUAACUAGUUAAUUAACUAGCUAUUUUUCAUUUUAUUUAUUUAUUUUUUAUUUUUUUUUAUUUUUAGGCGCUUGAAAAGCAAUAAUGAUAUUGAAGUAUGAAAAUUGAAUUUUUUUUUUUCAUUUUUUUUAGCUAUAUAUUUAGCUAUACAUUUAUAUAUAUAUAUAUAUACCCCAUUUGGGCCACUUUUUUACAAAAUACAAAUAAUAUAUACAAAAAAAUAACUCAUUGAAUUAAUUUGCUUUGUUUUACAGAAUAUAGAAAAUCCAUAACAUUGAAUUAUCAAAAACUGAAAAAAAAUAAUAAAAUGUUAUUAAAACAAAUAAAAAGGAAAAAA
RNAcentral lists this long non-coding RNA (925 nucleotides) under Piliocolobus tephrosceles (Ugandan red Colobus). RNAcentral's name for it is "lncRNA (ENSPTEG00000010755.1)". The record is from RNAcentral. Lineage: Eukaryota; Metazoa; Chordata; Mammalia; Primates; Cercopithecidae.